Ixodes scapularis (black-legged tick) is the source of this 81-nucleotide non-coding RNA. The record is from Rfam. NCBI's taxonomy places the organism in Eukaryota, Metazoa, Arthropoda, Arachnida, Ixodida, Ixodidae.
GCAGUCGUGGCCGAGUGGUUAAGGCGAUGGACUAGAAAUCCACUGGGUCUCCCCGCACAGGUUCGAAUCCUGUCGACUGCG